AGGGCCAUGUAUGUAAACUAGAAAAACAAAAACAAGUCAAACAUGCUCAAGACAUAGAAACGGUAAAAAAGUUUCUGACGACAAAGAAAAAUGAAAUUAAGAUGGAAUCUAUUAAAAAAGCGAGAGAAAUAAUAUUUGAGGACACCUGCUACGGACGCCAACUUUUGAGUGCUCUGCUGGAAUCAAAGACUCUAGAAGAAAGAGAGCAGCAGGUAUUAUUUCAAAAGAAAAUAAAACAUGAAGCUGAU
RNAcentral lists this unclassified non-coding RNA (248 nucleotides) under Melitaea cinxia (Glanville fritillary). RNAcentral describes it as "misc RNA ENSMCXG00005016029.1". Lineage: Eukaryota; Metazoa; Arthropoda; Insecta; Lepidoptera; Nymphalidae. The record is from RNAcentral.